AACGAACGCUGGCGGCAGGCUUAACACAUGCAAGUCGAACGCAUCCUUCGGGGUGAGUGGCAGACGGGUGAGUAACGCGUGGGAACGUGCCCUUCAGUUCGGGAUAACCCAGGGAAACUUGGGCUAAUACCGGAUACGUGCGAGAGCAGAAAGAUUUAUCGCUGAAGGAUCGGCCCGCGUCUGAUUAGCUAGUUGGUGGGGUAAUGGCCCACCAAGGCGACGAUCAGUAGCUGGUCUGAGAGGAUGAUCAGCCACACUGGGACUGAGACACGGCCCAGACUCCUACGGGAGGCAGCAGUGGGGAAUAUUGGACAAUGGGCGCAAGCCUGAUCCAGCCAUGCCGCGUGAGUGAUGAAGGCCUUAGGGUUGUAAAGCUCUUUCAGUGGGGACGAUAAUGACGGUACCCGCAGAAGAAGCCCCGGCUAACUUCGUGCCAGCCGCCGCCGUAA
Molecule: ribosomal RNA, 449 nt
Filed under: uncultured bacterium
Lineage: Bacteria
Description: partial 16S ribosomal RNA
Rfam family: Bacterial small subunit ribosomal RNA
Source: RNAcentral